Molecule: microRNA precursor, 134 nt
Filed under: Podarcis lilfordi (Lilford's wall lizard)
Lineage: Eukaryota; Metazoa; Chordata; Lepidosauria; Squamata; Lacertidae
Source: RNAcentral
UGUCCAGUAACACCUUAGAGACCAACUAAGUCUGUUCUGAGUAUAAGUUUUCAUGUGUAUCUGAAGAAGUGUGCAUGCACACGAUAGCUUAUACCCAGAACAAACUUAGCUGGUCUCUAAGGUGUUACUGGACA